UUCAGCAUUGAUCAUGUCAGA
Molecule: non-coding RNA, 21 nt
Organism: Caenorhabditis elegans
Lineage: Eukaryota; Metazoa; Nematoda; Chromadorea; Rhabditida; Rhabditidae
Source: Ensembl